This 3836-nucleotide long non-coding RNA is filed under the name Equus caballus (horse). RNAcentral describes it as "lncRNA (ENSECAG00000047933.1)". The record is from RNAcentral. Lineage: Eukaryota; Metazoa; Chordata; Mammalia; Perissodactyla; Equidae.
AAAAGAGACAGGAACCAUUCCCAAGUAUUCAUUAUAAUGUAUCUUGUUAAAGAAUAUCUGUCACCAGAAUUCUAAAAUCUUUAUAAACAGUGGUAAAAAUGUGAAAUACUGAUAUUGUAACACCAAUUAAGCCUACCAUUUUUCCCAAUGUAUUCAAUGUUUUAAAGGAGGCUAUUUCUCUUUGCAAUCUUUCCAGGUAGACUCACAGAAAGCCAACCAUUUCAUAGAACUAGAUCUGUGCAACUGAGUGGAGAUCGGGCUGCCCAUGGCUGAGACGUAGGGACCACCCUCCCUCACACAGCAAAGGCAUGCUUGCAGGGACUGCGUGCCAUUCACAUUUGUUUUUCUAGACCCUUACACACAUCUGAACAUUAAAGAUGCCCAAGAAAUCCUCAAUGAAAAGAAAAAGGUGCAGAGACUCAGUGAAUGUAUACGGCUUCUCCUUAGUCUCAAUUUUUCGUGCUUUCUCUCCUUCCGCACUCUCAGCCUCUUUUUAUUCUCCUCCUUUCUUCUUGUGCUAGGAGCUUGGGAGGACCCAUGAUGGUUCCUCCUUCAAGUAGAGUGAAAAAAGGAGGGCUAUAGGCUAUAACUCUUUUCUAUUUAAAAUUCCUUUGGGCUGAAAGAGGAAAGCAGAGGGCAUUAUCACAAACUGUGAAGCACAGACCACCAAUAUCCUUCUGUUGGAGGAGGUCAUGGAGAGGAGGUGACCACUGGCUGACCUGUGAGCAGGAGCUGGGCAAUCAGAGGCUCCUCACUCCUCUCCUGUGCUUGGAAUGUGUGUUUGGCCCACUGUUCCCACAGCUGGAGCCAUUUUCAAGGUGUAGCCUUGAGCUAGUAAGGUGUUGUAGAGGCCACCUGGAUGGCAUUAAGGCCUCUAUAUAAACUUUAUGUUUCUGGCGGUUGGGUGCGUAGAUCUACUCGUCUUGUGACUGCUAAGACAAGCCUUAUAUGGCAGCCUGUUCAGGGAGCCAAGAGCCCCUUUCCAGUGACCUGUAAGAGGGGCCCCUCCUUGUUUGGGACAGCCCCCAGGGAAAGAGACGCUGCCCAACUGAACCAGCUGAUCAUCCUAGAACUAACUGCUCCCCAGACUGCCGUCCCUCCUCGCUGGGGAUGGAGUAAAGAAGACUGCCCUCCAACGUGGGUGGAUCUCAGCCAAUUGUCCAGGACUGGAAGAGGAAAAAAAGGUGGAAGGAAGGGAAAGUUGGUUUUGUCUGCCUGGCUGUUGAGCUGGAACAUGGAUCUUCCCCUGCCCUCAGACCAGGACCCGCACCAUCAUUUCUCCUGGUUCUCAGGCUUUUGAUUUGGACUGGAACUAUGCCACCAGCUCUCCUGGGUCUCCAGCAUGUAGAUGGCAGAUCAUGGGACUUCUGGGCUUCCAUAACCACGAACUUCGAGGGCGUGCUUUCUCCGGCCAUUAUAGGACACAUUAUUGGAGUUCCGCUGCAUAUAUUUGGCCCAUGGCCCAUAUGGUGGCACAAUCAGAGAGUACAGAGGCAGGGAAUGUUCCAGACCAUGCCCAUCAACUCUGAUUUAUGCUGAACUUUUCCCUGAUACUUCAGAAAGGGUCUUCCUCACCGAGUUCACCCCUCCGAUGCUCCUAGCGACUGUGUUACAAACACUGAACUGACACUGCAUGUGUUUUUUUCCCCUAGAGAUUGAGCAAUAAUCCACUUACCACUUCUAAACAGGACACAUGUUAUUGUCACAGAAAGCUGCCCUAAGGGAUGCUGCAGAGCCGCCUAGCUUAAAAUCACCCUAUAUUCUUUCUUUCUGACGUAUGAUUUUUAGCUAUUGUUAUAUAGAUCAUGUUGAUGUAGUAAUUGCAUUUUCUCUGGUUUUUAGAACUCCUUUACAUUUGUUAAAUCAGAAAUCCCUUCCGAACAGAAGUUUUCUGUUGUAUGUGACCAGCAUCUGCAUGAUUCAACUCACAAUGGUGCUUGAGGAAGUCGAUAUUAAUCCAGUGGUUAUCGCUGGGGAGUGGGGAUCAAAUGAGGGGUAGAGAGUUUUAUUUUCUAUUUCAUAAGCUUCUGUGUUGUUCAUUUAUUGUCACCAUAAGCAGAUGUCACAUUUCUAAUAACACAUAAAGGAAAUAUUUUCACAACGUGCACAAACAGUUGCAAAGAGGGUUAAAUUGGUAAAUCCCUCAGUUAUGCAUCCCAGGGAUCAGUCCCUUUCGAGGUACAAUUUAAUGGAAUCGAAGUCUAAUUCAAUUUUUGGACUUGCUUUCUGGGAGUCCUAGUUGCUCUGUGUUAGAAUGAUUGUGAGAUCCCCUGGGAAUUGCUUUCUGAGUACAAAACUUCAGAGAGUGGGAAGGAGCUGUUCCUGCUGCUGAAGGCAUUUGUUACACAUUUUCAGAAAUGAAUUUGAAGACAUUGCAAAGGCGAUAUUCUUUUUGCCAGUGUUUGAAUGAUUUUUAAAUAACAAUCUACUGGAAGUUUUUAAAUUUGGUAUUGCUGUUUAAUAUUAAUGAGCUUCCACAGUGUUAUCUAUCAUUCAUAAUAAAAAAAAAUCUCUCUGUAUAAGGAGAUACAAAGUUAUGCCGCCAUCAGGAUGAUUUUAAGUUAAAGGGAAAAUAAUCCUACCAACCUACAGAAAGACUGUAACCCUGUCUUUGUGUAGAUUUUCUUCCAAGCAUUUUGGUCAAAAUAUUUUUUAAGCUAGCCAUGUAGAUGGGAAGAAUGCAAGUCUUCUGAGAGUCAAUGAAUAUUCUGGAAAAUGUUUCAUUCAAUGAGUACAUUAAUUAGACUCUCUUGAUUCGAGGUGACAGAAACUGAAGUAGCAUAAGUGGAAAAGGUAAUAUAUUUGCUCAUGAAACUAAGUAUGGGGUAGGGGGUAUACAUGAUGAGUUUUAGGUGUGACUUGUUCCAGGGGCUCCAGCAACGUUGUUGGGCCUCUGUCUCUCUCUCUGCUUCUCUUGGCUCUGUUUCACUUAAAUGUUGGCUUCACUCUCAGGCAUGUUUUGACUGUAUGACGGGAAAGAUCACUCCUGGCUAGUGGGUGGGAGUGCCAAACUUGUUCCAAAAGGAAGAGAAAGCCACUCUUUUUCCCACAGUCCAUAUAGCAAAACCCAGGAAAGAUUCUAAUCGAACCUAUUGAAACGACCCCUGCCAGGGAGAUGGAGUUCAUUGGUUGGCCAGGUUGCAUCACCUUCCUGCUAUGAUGGGGGUUUGGGUGGGCCUCAUGGUGAACAACCCCACCAGGACAACGUGGAGUGGAGGAGGGGUUGUUCUAAAAAGAGAAGUCAUUGGAUGGACAAACCACAGUACCCACCAUGGAAAGCCACUUCCCUGGGAUCUGAUAAAUUCAUCAGCACCUAGGGAGACUGCCUAAUGGUAAUUACAUUCAGGCACUUGAUAAUUAAGUUGAUAUUGCAUUCUCUUAACUUUCAGUUCUAGCCUAGUAGUUGUAAAAAAUUACUUAGUUAUAAAUCACUUAGAACUCUUGCCACUUUUGUUCAACACAGUGUUGGAAGUCCUAGCCAGAAGCAAUUAGGCAAGAAAAAUAAAUAAAAGACAUCCAAAUCGGAAAGAAAGAAGUAAAACUGUCACUAUUUGCAGAUGACAUAUUAUAUACAGAAAACCCUAAAGACUCUCUCAAAAAACUGUUAGAACUAGUAAACAAAUUCAGUAAAGUUGUAGGAUACAAAAUCAAUAUGCAAAAACCUGUUGUAUUUCUAUACACUAAUAACAAACAAUAUAUCAGAGAAAUAAAGAAAACAAUCCCAUUGACAAUUUCAUCAAAAAGAAUAAGAUACCUAGGAAUAAAUUUAACUAAUGCAGUGAAAGAUCUGUAUAUUAAAAACUAUAAGGCAUUAGUGAAAGAAAUUGGAGAAAAAU